RNAcentral lists this non-coding RNA (21 nucleotides) under Caenorhabditis elegans. The record is from RNAcentral. Lineage: Eukaryota; Metazoa; Nematoda; Chromadorea; Rhabditida; Rhabditidae.
UUAAUCGAGGAGUAUCAUUCA